GAUGAAGAACGUAGCGAAAUGCGAUAAGUAAUGUGAAUUGCAGAAUUCAGUGAAUCAUCGAAUCUUUGAACGCACAUUGCGCCUGCCAGUAGUCUGGCGGGCAUGCCUGUUCGAGCGUCAUUUCAACCCUCAGGCCCCCAGUGCCUGGCGUUGGGGAUCGGCGCGGCGCCCUCCGGGGCGCUGCCGGCCCCGAAAUUCAGUGGCGGUCUCGCUGUAGCCCUCCUCCGCGUAGUAGCACAACCUCGCGGUCUGGAGCUCGGCGGUGGCCAUGCCGUAAAACACCCCACUUCUGAAAGUUGACCUCGGAUCAGGUAGGAAUACCCGCUGAACUUAAGCAUAUCAAUAAGCGGAGGA
Molecule: unclassified non-coding RNA, 354 nt
Filed under: soil metagenome
Description: partial contains 5.8S ribosomal RNA, internal transcribed spacer 2, and large subunit ribosomal RNA
Rfam family: 5.8S ribosomal RNA (bases 1-120)
Source: RNAcentral